RNAcentral lists this long non-coding RNA (1813 nucleotides) under Ficedula albicollis (Collared flycatcher). RNAcentral describes it as "lncRNA (ENSFALG00000025477.1)". Lineage: Eukaryota; Metazoa; Chordata; Aves; Passeriformes; Muscicapidae. The record is from RNAcentral.
UUUAAAUUAAGGUGAUUUUUAACUUUCCAUUGUAUAUAUGAAAUUCAAAAAAGCUUAAUAAUUGUAUAUUAAAAAUUAAACCACAUGAGUGUUUAUUGUAUUUUACUUUUGGAGUGGCACAAGGAAACAUGAAUCAACUCAGAAGGGAGAAUUUCAGUGACAAGCUCUUUAACUACAUAAAUCUGUGUUGAACUUGAAUAUCCACAAUGCACUUUGGAAAGAUCUGUCAAUAUUUUGUCUUUCCCAUAACUGGAGUUUGAUGGUUGUCUUGAAAACAGAAGUUUGGUCUGCAGGAAUUAAUCCUAGUCACCUUUUGGGGAGAGGGGUUGUUACUCUAAUUUUCUGCCAAGAUUUGACAAUGGCAUUUGUCUUGGAGAAAUAUGGAACAGAUUUUUUUUUUUCUCCUUUUUGCAAAGAGAUACAGCAGAUGUUAAAUAACUGUGAUUUUGAGAAGAGGUCUUCAGCUGAUUCACUGGGAUUGUGGAACCAAUGUGAUGGCAGCUUUUUGUUUCCAGGAGUGCUGCAGCACAAUUCCUGUGGAUCGUGCUGCAAAAGGGCAGUGUGUGCAUGGCACACCUUGCUGCUCGUUCUUAGCAAAGGGGGAUGUGCUACAGGCUGCAGGGGCUGCACUGCCAGUCGUGGGGAGUCCUAAGGAUGCAUUUUUAGCAUCACCAACUCUUCCUAUAAUGCACGAGUUUUUCCUUCCUCACAGCUCCACCAUCUUAUUACCAGAUGUGAAAAUUCAGACCCUAAUGUUCUGAAUGACUCUGUCCUUCCAUCUCUAGCUCCUUCUCUGGAACCUCCUGCCAUCCAUCAUGCUUUGCUGGUGUGGUUCAAAUAUGCUUUACUCUAGCAACAAGUUUUUCCUCUUAAUUAUCCAUUCAAGGGCCUUUUAAACUCAAGGACCUUGGAGACACAGAGGUCAAAAUAAUUGUGAGGUGGGAUUUAAGUGAUGCUCAGUACUUCUGACUCAUUUUGCUUUUAGGCUGUAUUGGUGAGUACUGAGCAUUCUAGAAAGAUGCUAUAUUGAGACACAUCAAAAUGGAUUUAGAUGGGCAAUUUUAAUGUUAAAUAUACCUCCAAGAUUUGAUGUGAAUGCCCUCCAUAACGAAUGUCUGAUACCUUGGGUACUUCUCACAGGUAGAGCAUCUUUUGAUCAGGAAAGAUCUCAGAGUGGUUAAUGGGUACUGCAUAAAUCUGUCCAGCCCUCUUACAUGGAAGCUGCUCUCACAACUGAAGCAUGAUACACAGAAGAAAAACUAAAAUCAAUGGUGCUGAUGAGAAAAUGGGAUCGGACAGAGUGAGUAUGAAUUUUUCUCUUUGAAGAUUUGUAUACUUAAAUUUUACUAUGACUGCUGCAAAAUGUGUUCUUUUGUAAACUAAAAUGUAAACUGUGUGUAGUUCUUGUAGUCGUGGAUAGUCUCGUCCAUGUACUUGAAUAAUGGAAAAAAAAUCUACAAACUUAUGUUUGAUUAAAUCCAUGCUAGAAAAUGAGCAGUUUUCCAAUUCCAAUUGCUCCAGUUGCUACUUCAGUCUGAUCCUGAGGAGCUGAGAAGAGCAAAGCAAAUCCUGGCAAGUGUUACACCUAUACUGCUUUUUCAAUUUUUAGACUGAAAACAAUAAUUUCUGUCAAACCCUGACAGAAAAUUCCAAACAAAAUACUCUUUAGGAUCUGCAAGUUAUCCCAUGAGCAGGUGGCCACUACCUUGACAUGUGACAGAGAUAGCAUUUGCUUAGCAGAAAAUUCAGGCAGAACACUUUUUCUUUGCUAUUGAGUCACAAGUCCUUAAGUUGUAUCUCAUGCUGUUGGGAG